AUGUUUUGGUCCCUGUUGUUAAUGUUAACGUUAAUGUUAUUAAAAUCCCAGACUCCUGAAUACCACCUCUAGAAUUUGCCAGCCAAUACCUGCACUGUGGCACCAGAGACUCAGAGUAGAGCUCUUUGACACAAAGCCACAUUUCCCUGAAGCUUAAAGACAUGUUUUUGGAGAGAGAAAAAAAUACAUAAUAUUUUACAUCAGAGUUUAGCAAUGAAACUUCAGAGAAUGAAACCAUGUAAGAGUUGUUUUUAAUGGGGAAAAGCAAUAGCUCUUAACGGGAAGUCCUCCUGUACAUAUACCAUGCUUAUUCAACCUUUGACCUUUCAAGGAACUAAUAGGAAAUAGAGGGAACACCCAGGAGGGCAGCGGGAGGGGUUUUAGAGAUAGUAUUAGUGGACAGAGGGUGACGGUCACAUUAGAUUGACCUCUAAAUAUAGUUGCAGUAUGUAUUUUAUGAGGGUUUUAUGCAGGAGGCCGGUUAGGAAUACUGGCCCUGCUUAGGAGGACUACAGAGACCGUAAUGAAACUCUCAACCAUAUUCAUCUUCUAGAGACUAUUGAAUAGCUUAUGGUUUCAUUCUAGCACGUAGACGCACCCCCCCCCCCCACACACACACACACUUACACUCCCACAACCACAUACAUAUUUCUAGAAAAACGUUGUUGAUGAUGUCAUGGAGAUGUUCCCUUGGGGAGUGCAGUGUCUUUCUAAACACACUUUAGUGCCAGUUGAUAGAUGUAUUUCUGGCUACGUGGGAAGUUGUGUUUCUGUGUGCUCCAAGACUCACCACAUGGAUCUGGCUGGUUGGGAACUGGAUCUUCAUCAGUGGAGAGAGAAUGCUGUGUUCGGUAACAGUCUGCAGGAACACUCUGGUUUCUAAGCUCUUGAGUACUAGAGAGAGAGAGAGAGAGAGAGAGACAGAGAGAGACAGAGAGAGAGAGAGAGAGAGAGAGAGAGAGAGAGAGAGAGAGAGAGAGAGAGAGAGAGAGAGAGAGAGAGAGAGAGAGAGAGAGAGAGAGAGAGAGAGAGAGAGAGAGAGAGAGCGAGAGCGAGAGCGAGAGCGAGCGAGAGAGAGAGAGAGAGAGAAUCAUUUUUCAGAUGUGCUCUGGCGCUGACAUGACAUAGGACUCAACAGCGUAAACUGCAGUUGACUCUAGUUCUGUACUGUAAUCCUACUGCUGUUGGCUUCAUAAACAGUGUUGUAGAUCAUUCAGUACAUUUACUUUUCCCAUUUGCUUUCUUUAUAGUAGAGAUCCCUUCUAAACAGUCUAUUAGACUCAGGUUUUAUAUACGAUAUGUCUCUCUGCCUUCUCUUCCUGGGAUCAAAGAUGCUGAAUCCACACAUGACAUAUUUCCAUACUUACUUGCAUUUGAUUAAUAUAAAUCAUUUCAGAACUGUGUCUUAUUUAUUUUUACCAUCAAAGACUCUGUUUUUGUGCGGUUCACUGUGAACAGCUGGUGUCGAGGCAACAGUCACUGUGUCACACCCGCAAGUAGCAUUACUGUGUAACAGUCAGUGAAGUAUUGUUGCUUUUCCUUCCAAAAUAAAUUAGUAUUUUAAAUUAUUUGUAUUAUCUCUAAAAAAUGUCUCUGUUUGCUAUAUUUUUCCAGUUUGUUGUUUUAACACCACAGGGCUUCUACAGCUGUCUAUUUGCAUUGUGUGGGUUGAGCUGUACAAGGUCAUGUUUGUAGUGGUGUUGCCCUGUCAUGUUGACACUUGGUCUGUUCUCUCUAUGAUGCUGUGCUGUGAUGUGUUUCCAUGGUGCGUAACCAGGGUGAUGGUGUUAGCUGAUGAUCUCUGACUGUAACCUGUGCGUCCCGAACUCCUGUCUCAACGAAAGGAGGCUAUGCAGUAUGUCUGAACAUCACAGAGGGGUUCAGUGGGAAAGAAAGCUUGUCACAAUUUUAAUUAUUUUUAUAUCAGGUUUACGUUGGAAGCAAGGAGGCCAGAUACGUUUGCUUUGGUCAAGAUACACGUGUACACAAACACACGCCCACUAAUGAUGUCACAGCUCAUCCACAUUUGGAGAAGGAGAUUCCUAUACAAUGUAGAAUAUGAGUGAGUAGAGGAACAACUGUGCCAAUACUUAGUCUGUCGCUGAUCCUAAACCAAUCAAGAGAUAUCUGAAUCAAGAAGAAUAGGCCACUCCCACACUGAUCUGGUGUGUGGCAACAUUCAUGUUCUAACUGACAAUCAGCAGGAAGUGUUUUAUUCCUGUAAUAUGAGGUGAGGUGAUCAGCAGGAAGUCUUUUAUUCCUAUAAUAUGAGGUGAGGUGAUCAGCAGGAAGUGUUUUAUUCCUAUAAUAUGAGAUGAGGUGAUCAGCAGGAAGUCUUUUAUUCCUAUAAUAUGAGGUGAGGUGAUCAGCAGGAAGUGUUUUAUUCCUAUAAUAUGAGAUGAGGUGAUCAGCAGGAAGUCUUUUAUUCCUAUAAUAUGAGGUGAGGUGAUCAGCAGGAAGUGUUUUAUUCUUAUAAUAUGAGGUGAGGUGAUCAGCAGGAAGUGUUUUAUUCCUAUAAUAUGAGGUGAGGUGAUCAGCAGGAAGUGUUUUAUUCCUAUAAUAUGAGGUGAUGUGAUCAGCAGGAAGUAUUUUAUUCCUAUAAUAUGAGGUGAGGUGAUCAGCAGGAAGUGUUUUAUUCCUAUAAUAUGAGGUGAGGUGAUCAGCAGUGCCCAGGCUGAGUUGUGACUCUAGUACAGUAAGACAUUGUUACAGUAAUGUGGUACAGGGACAGUGCCCAGGCUGAGUUGUGACUCUAGUACAGUAAGACAUUGUUACAGUAAUGUGGUACAGGUACAGUGCCCAGGCUGAGUUGUGACUCUAGUACAGUAAGACAUUGUUACAGUAAUGUGGUACAGGGACAGUGCCCAGGCUGAGUUGUGACUCUAGUACAGUAAGACAUUGUUACAGUAAUGUGGUACAGGUACAGUGCCCAGGCUGAGUUGUGACUCUAGUACAGUAAGACAUUGUUACAGUAAUGUGGUACAGGUACAGUGCCCAGGCUGAGUUGUGACUCUAGUACAGUAGUUCAGUGCCUAUAAAUGUGAGGUUGUGCCUCGACCAUGAAUUCUUUAAUAAACUAUUUUGACGUGCUGUCUGAUUGGA
Long non-coding RNA from Oncorhynchus keta (chum salmon), 3102 nucleotides. RefSeq lists it as uncharacterized. The record is from RefSeq and is a predicted model, not a curated record. The transcript has 3 exons. NCBI's taxonomy places the organism in Eukaryota, Metazoa, Chordata, Actinopteri, Salmoniformes, Salmonidae.